Molecule: long non-coding RNA, 182 nt
Organism: Thalassophryne amazonica
Lineage: Eukaryota; Metazoa; Chordata; Actinopteri; Batrachoidiformes; Batrachoididae
Exons: 3
Source: RefSeq, a predicted model, not a curated record
GACGUACAGCGGGACGCACUGCUGCCUUGUCAGGGCUCGUGACAUCAGAUCUUAAAGUUCAGAGUCCGUUGUAUGUCUCCCCGCCCCAAAAAAAUGCCAGUACUCACAAACGUACUUAAACGUCCCUUGUUUAUUGUUUCAUCAUUCUAAAGAGACAGAGGGAAGGAGGGCUGCAUGAACCA